CCUACGGGUGGCAGCAGUGAGGAAUAUUGGUCAAUGGCCGUAAGGCUGAACCAGCCAAGUCGCGUGAAGGAAGAAGGAUCUAUGGUUUGUAAACUUCUUUUAUAGGGGAAUAAAGGUAUCCACGUGUGGAUAUUUGCAUGUACCCUAUGAAUAAGCAUCGGCUAACUCCGUUCCAGCAGCCGCGGUAAUACGGAGGAUGCGAGCGUUAUCCGGAUUUAUUGGGUUUAAAGGGAGCGUAGGUUGUUCUGUACGUCGGCGGUGAAAGUUUGUGGCUCAACCAUGAAAUUGCCGUUGAAACUGGGGGACUUGAGUGUGUAUGAGGAGAGUGGAAGUCGUGGGGUAGCGGUGAAAUGCAUAGAUAUCA
RNAcentral lists this ribosomal RNA (364 nucleotides) under uncultured bacterium. RNAcentral describes it as "partial 16S ribosomal RNA". It matches the Rfam family "Bacterial small subunit ribosomal RNA", at positions 338 to 699 of the family's 1533-position model. The record is from RNAcentral.